This 1941-nucleotide ribosomal RNA is filed under the name human gut metagenome. RNAcentral describes it as "bacterial LSU rRNA". It matches the Rfam family "Bacterial large subunit ribosomal RNA", at positions 3 to 1985 of the family's 2925-position model. The record is from RNAcentral.
UCAAGUGACUAAGUGUAUGUGGUGGAUGCCUUGGCGAUCACAGGCGAUGAAGGACGUAGUAGCUUGCGAUAAGCUGCGGGGAGCCGGCAAACGGGCUUUGAUCCGCAGAUUUCCGAAUGGGGGAACCCACCGACGUAGGUCGGUAUCACGCACUGAAUACAUAGGUGCGUGAGGCGAACGGAGCGAACUGAAACAUCUAAGUAGCUCCAGGAAAAGAAAUCAACCGAGAUUGCGAAAGUAGCGGCGAGCGAAAUUGCAGCAGCCCAGUGUUCUGAUAGCACGAACGACAGCAGAAGGGUCUGGAAAGGCCCGCUAUAGAGGGUGAUAGCCCCGUAUGCGAAAUCGGACGUGUGGUACUAAGGAACCGAUAAGUAGGGCGGGACACGUGACAUCCUGUCUGAAGAUGGGGGGACCAUCCUCCAAGGCUAAAUACUCGUGAUCGACCGAUAGUGAACCAGUACUGUGAAGGAAAGGCGAAAAGAACCCCGGGAGGGGAGUGAAAUAGAACCUGAAACCGCAUACAUACAAACAGUAGGAGCCCCUGCAGUGGGGUGACUGCGUACCUUUUGCAUAAUGGGUCAGCGACUUACGUUUUGUGGCGAGCUUAACCGAGUAGGGGAGGCGUAGCGAAAGCGAGUUCGAAUAGAGCGAAGAGUCUCAAGGCGUAGACCCGAAACCAGAUGAGCUAUCCAUGGCCAGGUUGAAGGUGUGGUAACACACACUGGAGGACCGAACCGACUAGUGUUGCAAAAUUAGCGGAUGAGCUGUGGAUAGGGGUGAAAGGCUUAACAAAUCUGGAGAUAGCUGGUUCUCCCCGAAAACUAUUGAGGUAGUGCCUCGUGUAUUGCUCCAGGGGGUAGAGCACUGUUAUGGCUAGGGGGACAUGGCGUCUUACCAAACCAUGGCAAACUCCGAAUACUUGGAAGUAAGAGCACGGGAGACAGAGCACCGGGUGCUAACGUCCGGACUCAAGAGGGAAACAACCCAGACCGCCGUUUAAGGUCCCAAAUAUUGACUAAGUGGAAAACGAAGUGUGAAGGCUAAGACAGUCAGGAAGUUGGCUUAGAAGCAGCCAUCCUUCAAAGAAAGCGUAAUAGCUCACUGAUCGAGUCCUCAUGCGCGGAAGAUGUAACGGGGCUAAGUCAAUAACCGAAAGCGCGGAUUUGCAUGAAAAUGCAAGUGGUAGGGGAGCGUUCUGUAAGCCUGCGAAGGUGGUUCGAGAGGACUGCUGGAGGUAUCAGAAGUGCGAAUGCUGACAUGAGUAACGUUAAAGCGGGUGAAAAGCCCGCUCGCCGUAAGCCCAAGGUUUCCUGCUCUACGUUCAUCGGAGCAGGGUGAGUCGGCCCCUAAGGCCAGGCUGAGAAGCGUAGUCGAUGGGAAGCAGAUUAAUAUUUCUGCACCAUGUGCAAGUGCGAUGGGGGGACGGAGUGCGAAAGAUCAUCCGGGUGUUGGAUGUCCCGGUUUGUGAGUGUAGAAGGCCGACAGGCAAAUCCGUCGGCGGAUCUUCGAGACAAAGCAUCGAGGUUCUACGGAACCGAAGUGAUCGGAAGUGCUUCCAGGAAAAGCCUCUAAGCUUCAGCUUGUACAUGACCGUACCGUAAACCGACACUGGUGGGCGAGUUGAAUAUACUCAGGCGCUUGAGAGAACUCGGGAGAAGGAACUCGGCAAAUUGACACCGUAACUUCGGGAUAAGGUGUGCCUUUGUAGCGUGAAGAGAGAAACACUCGGAGCGUGAAGAGGCCUCAGAGAAUCGGUGGCUGCAACUGUUUAUUAAAAACACAGCACUCUGCAAAGACGAAAGUCGACGUAUAGGGUGUGAUGCCUGCCCGGUGCUGGAAGAUUAAGUGAUGGGGUGAGAGCUCCUGAUCGAAGUCCCAGUAAACGGCGGCCGUAACUAUAACGGUCCUAAGGUAGCGAAAUUCCUUGUCGGGUAAGUUCCG